This 74-nucleotide transfer RNA is filed under the name Bacteroidota bacterium. RNAcentral describes it as "tRNA-Asn". It matches the Rfam family "tRNA". Rfam says of the family: Transfer RNA (tRNA) molecules are approximately 80 nucleotides in length. Their secondary structure includes four short double-helical elements and three loops (D, anti-codon, and T loops). Lineage: Bacteria; Pseudomonadati; Bacteroidota. The record is from RNAcentral. RNAcentral also lists the same sequence under 2 other names.
UCCUCCAUAGCUCAGUUGGUUAGAGCAUCUGACUGUUAAUCAGAGGGUCGCUGGUUCAAGUCCAGCUGGGGGAG